RNAcentral lists this ribosomal RNA (703 nucleotides) under uncultured bacterium. Its description in RNAcentral is "bacterial SSU rRNA". It matches the Rfam family "Bacterial small subunit ribosomal RNA", at positions 8 to 748 of the family's 1533-position model. The record is from RNAcentral.
AGAGUUUGAUCCUGGCUCAGAGCGAACGCUAGCGGCGGGCUUAACACAUGCAAGUCGCACGCGCCUUCGGGCGAGUGGCGAACGGGUGAGUAACACGUGGAUCACCUACCCUCAGGAGGGGGAUAACCAGGGGAAACCCUGGCUAAUACCCCGUACGGCCUACGGGUCAGAGCCUUCGGGCGCCUGGGGAUGGGUCCGCGGCCCAUUAUUUAAUCCUGGUUGGUGGGGUAACGGCCUACCAAGGGUACGAUGGGUAGCUGGUCUGAGAGGACGAUCAGCCACACUGGGACUGAGACACGGCCCAGACUCCUACGGGAGGCAGCAGUGGGGAAUCUUGCGCAAUGGGCGAAAGCCUGACGCAGCCACGCCGCGUGAGUGAUGAAGGCCCUAGGGUUGUAAAGCUCUGUCGGGAGGGAAGAAGAUCUGACGGUACCUCCCAAGAAAGCACCGGCUAACCCCGUGCCAGCAGCCGCGGUAAUACGGAGGGUGCAAGCGUUGCUCGGAAUCACUGGGCGUAAAGCGGACGCAGGCGGCCUGCCAGGUCGGGUGUGAAAGCCCGGGGCUCAACCCCGGAAAUGCACUCGAAACCGGCAGUCUUGAAUACGGGAGAGGGAAGCGGAAUUCCUGGUGUAGAGGUGAAAUUCGUAGAUAUCAGGAGGAACACCGGUGGCGAAAGCGGCUUCCUGGCCCGAUAUUGACGCUG